Molecule: ribosomal RNA, 567 nt
Filed under: Bacteroides sp.
Lineage: Bacteria; Pseudomonadati; Bacteroidota; Bacteroidia; Bacteroidales; Bacteroidaceae
Also listed under: 1 other name
Description: partial 23S ribosomal RNA
Rfam family: Bacterial large subunit ribosomal RNA
Source: RNAcentral
GGUUAAGUUAAUAAGGGCGCACGGUGGAUGCCUUGGCACUAGGAGCCGAAGAAGGACGUGACAAACGACGAUAUGCCUUGGGUAGCUGUAAGUAAGCGAUGAUCCAGGGAUUUCCGAAUGGGGGAACCCAACAGGUACUACCUGUUACCCGCAUCUGUUAAGGAUGUGAGGAGGAAGACGCAGUGAACUGAAACAUCUAAGUAGCUGCAGGAAGAGAAAGCAAAAGCGAUUGCCUUAGUAGCGGCGAGCGAAACGGCAGGAGGGCAAACCGAAGAGUUUACUCUUCGGGGUUGUAGGACUGCAAUGUGGACUCAAAGAUUAUAGAAGAAUGAUUUGGGAAGAUCAGCCAAAGAGAGUAAUAGCCUCGUAUUUAAAAUAGUCUUUGUACCUAGCAGUAUCCUGAGUACGGCGGGACACGUGAAAUCCCGUCGGAAUCUGGGAGGACCAUCUCCCAACCCUAAAUACUCCCUAGUGACCGAUAGUGAACCAGUACCGUGAGGGAAAGGUGAAAAGCACCCCGGGAGGGGAGUGAAAUAGAACCUGAAACCGUGUGCCUACAACAAGUUC